RNAcentral lists this long non-coding RNA (6241 nucleotides) under Gossypium raimondii (Peruvian cotton). RNAcentral's name for it is "long non-coding RNA (GRAI_LNC003382)". Lineage: Eukaryota; Viridiplantae; Streptophyta; Magnoliopsida; Malvales; Malvaceae. The record is from RNAcentral.
GCGACCUUCCGUCUUUCUUCACCGCUUCAAACGUUUACCGUUGGGCACUGUCGUUGUUCCAAGAACACAUGGACGUCCUCGCCGAUGAAUCCAACCCUAAAAUCCUUGUUAACACCUUCGAUGCUUUGGAACACGAAGCAUUAAACGCCAUUGAAAAUUUCAACAUGGUCGGCAUCGGACCUUUAAUCCCAUCUUCUUUCUUGAACUCAAGUGACUCCUUGGAUAAUUCCUUGAGAACCGAUCUUUUUCAACCCGAUUCAAAAGAUUACCUCCAAUGGUUAGACUCCAAACCAAAAUCGGCCGUCGUUUACGUUUCCUUCGGGAGCAUUACGGUGUUAACGAAGCAACAAGUGGAGGAAAUCGCUCGAGCUUUAAUAUCCAGCCGGCGACCUUUUUUAUGGGUGGUGAGGAACCGGAAAGAUGGAGGCGAAGAAGAGAAAGAAGAAGAUAAACUGACUUGCAGGGAAGAAUUGGAACAGUUUGGGAGGGUGGUUCCAUGGUGUUCGCAAGUGGAAGUAUUGUCUCAUCCGUCGUUGGGUUGCUUCGUGACGCAUUGUGGGUGGAACUCGACGUUGGAGAGCAUGGUGGCCGGUGUACCAGUGGUGGCUUUCCCUCAAUGGUCGGAUCAAGGGACUACUGCGAAGCUGAUUGAAGAUGUGUGGGGGAAUGGGGUGAGAGUGAGUGCUAAUGAAGAAGGGAUGGUGGAACGUGAUGAGAUCGUUAGGUGCUUGGAUUUGGUGAUGGGGGAUGAUGAGAAAGGGAUGGAAGUGAAGAAAAAUGUAGAGAAAUGGAAAGGGUUAGCCAGGGAAGCCUCCAUGGAAGGCGGCUCCAUGGAUAUGAACCUUAAAGCUUUUGUGGAUGAUGUUGCUCAAGGUGGUUGCAAGUAAAUUUAUCAUUUUCAAAUCAAUUCACUGUUAUAAUAGCAGCUAUAAAUAUUGUAACUUCUUUAAUUUCUAAGUUUAUUUCUUUUUCUUUUCCAUCAUCUUUUGUAAAAAAAAAAAUGUAAGAUUGAAAAGCCGAAACAAAAACUCCUCUUUUAAGGACCCAAGAGGAGCUGGUCUGUGUAGUCUUUGAGCCCCACCUGUCAAUCUCAAUCUCAAUCAAUGCUUUCCUUUCUUGCCUCAAGCACUCACUCGUUUCAUGUCCCAUCCUCGUUUUCCCUUCAUUAAUAUCACUCCACCUUCUAACUUAAUAAUUGAUACAUGAUCUCAAAAAAAAAAGAAAAAAAAAAAACCCAAAGUUUGAAUUCGGUCUAUGAGCUUCCUAAACAAAAUCAGGAUAUGUGAUUAAGCAUGGAUGCUUCCAUUAUCAUAUGGAUUAAGGGUGCCAGUCGGGCUUAUUACGCCCCUCAUCCAACUUUCACCAUUCGAUAUAUGAUUAUAACCUAACCAACAACAGUCAAAUGUGUUGUUGUCGUACCUCUAUCCCUUCAAAAAUCUCUUUACUGUUGCUACCCAUGUCUUCUUUGAUAUAUAUGCAUAUUUUUAACCUUACUGAGCUGUGGACUUCAUUUGACGUGUAACCAAGUUUUUGCUUUCUUUUCUUUCUUCUUCUUAUGUUUCCUGAAUUUAUAAAUUUUUUUCCAUUGGCUUCUAUUUAUGUUUUUUCAAAGAUUAAUAAUUGAAUUUAAUUAAAAAUAAUUAAAUUGGUAAAAUAUAUAAAUGUUGAGGACAAAAUUCAGUAUUAUCCCUUUUAAUACCUUUCAUCGUACUAGAUCAGGUAUUAUCGUACCAUGAAACUUGAAUAAGGGUGGGUUUGGAUGGGCGAUUGGGUGCGGUGCGGUGCGUUUAGCCUACUUUUUGUCUCACACUACAGUAUUGCUACAGUGGUAAACGCACCGCCCAUCCAAACUCACCCUAAGCCACCACACAAGUUUAUGCGCAUGUGGUUUUUUCUGGUUUAAUUCUGCUUCUAGUCCUUAUACUUUUUGAAAGUGAUGGAUUUAGUCCCAAUACUUCAAUUUGAUCACUUUUAGUCCUGAACUUUUCAAAAUGUUCAAUUUUAGUCCCUAUAUUUUUAGUCUUUUGAAAUUUUUGUCCUAAACCAAAUAAUAGUAGUUAAAUUUGUUUGUUUAAAUUCAAUUACUAGCAUGUAAUUGUAGAUUUAAUAUAUAUUAUCCAUUUUCUUUGCAAAGUCUGUGAAAAACAAAAAGGAUUGUUGAGAACAAUCCAAACACUAUCAAACACAGUUUAAAAAAAAAUAAAACAGAACAGCCUAACAAAUACUACUAAGCAGACAAAAACACUUUAACAACAGAUUUCCCCGUUGUAUUCUGCUGCAGAAAAUAGCAGACCAUCCCAGCAUCAUCCAUUCUGCUUCAGCAGCAAAUCACCAAGCAGCUUUAAAGAAGUUUUUCCUUGACAUGCCUGCCUUUGCUAAAGUUUCCGCCAUUCCACUCUUUUUUUGAUUAGUGAUUGCAAACUGGAUUUCGGCAAUAUGUCUACAUUCAUCUUCAAUUUCCGCAAACAACUUCCUUAGCGACCAUUGACGAAGAUUCCUAUAUUUCAACUAAUUCAAUACCGUAUUCAAAUCAAGCUCUAUAAUCAAAGGAAGUUGCACCUUAUGAAACAAAUUUGAAAACAUCUCUAUUGCUACUUUUAUAGCCAUCAGUACUACCAUUUCCAAACCCUCCACUGCACAGUUACCUGAAAAAGAGCUGAAACAACCCCUUUCUCGUCCCGCAACACCCCUCCGCAGCCCGCUCUUUCAUCCAAAGAAACCCCAGCCACAUUAAAUUUCAUCCAACCGCAAGGAGGUGGUUCCCUAUCCAUAACCCGCACAUUCCCCACCCUUUUUAACCGGACUGCUCUUCCUUGGCCACCCCCACCAAUCACUCUCUGUGAAAAUACAUUCCUCAUAGACCACUCUUGCCCAUACAAACGAUCUCAAUUUUGUUUGGUAAAUUAACAAGUCAAGUGUUGUAGCCUUACCUUCAAACACUUUCUCAUUACGAGAAAUCCAUCCUGACCAACAUGCUGCUGAUACUGCCAGUAACCAUAGACUUUUUUGAAUGCCAGACAAAGACACUCUCCAGCACAAGGAAAAGAAUUCCUCAAAGUUUGCUACGACGUCCUUCCAUCUCAACCCCCACCAGCAAAAUAUACACGACCAGAAUCUUUUCACAAAGGAGCAUUCAAAAAAAAGUGAUUGGUAGAUUCCGCCACUCUCUCGCACCAUGGACACCCACUAUCCGAAGAGUCGAUAAUAAUUCCUCUACUAAUAAAAAAUUCUUUCGUUGGAACACGAUUAAUCGCCAUCAUCUAUAAGAAGCUACGCUUUCUUGGUGGGACUUUCAAUUUCCAGAUUCUAUCAAACUGAAAUUCUACCGUUCCCAUCCCAUCACACAUUCACGACAUUAGUUGCACGCCCAGCUACAAACGAACCUGGCUCGGAUAGCAAAAAUGUAGGGAAAAAAUAGUCACAGAAGACUAUAGUCAAACAACGUGUAUGCAAGGAAAAUACUAAACUAGAAAAUUUAAAAAGAAAGAAAAGCUGAACUCAAAAUGACUGAAGUUGCUGUAUUAUUCACACACAAAAUGAAAUAAACGUAGGCCUAUAAAUAGCCUUUACACCAUAACAAACUAACGUAAAAAUGUGCAACACUAUUGCACGAUCAUAACAAAAAAUAGAGAAAUAAGGAAAAUAACAAACUAAGCAUAGCACAGCAAAUCUAAAUUUAGAAAAACUGACUUUGAAUCAUUCUCCAACAUCGAAAAUGGUGGAGGGUUGAAUCCAGAGUAAAGUUGACGGGAUGUGAUGUUUACGCGCCACCUCCGUAGCCCAAUGAAGGAGCAAAUAGUAGACAAUGCAAGUGAUGGGUUUACCUUCGUUUUCACUACUUGUUAUAAACUCAGAGAUGGCAUCUCUGCCUCGUCUCUUGAAUUCAGACAUGUAAUUGUCUGUGUCAUUGCCGGGUUUAAUUUCGUCGUCAUAGCUAUCCGAAAAAGGUAAAAACGAUAGGCCUUCAGCAGUGGGGGACUUUGGUCAUGCGACUGCUGGCGGAGAUGCUGGUGAUGAAAGUUACACGUACGUCGAUAGGUACAAGAUGCUUGGCGAAUUGUAAGGUCGGGUUUAUGUGGCCUUGUGCAGGAUAGGUCACUACGAUGAAAUGAGGCUGUGGCAUGAUGGUGACGGCGGCGCGUGUUGGCGCGUAAUUCGUGAAGGAAAUUAAUGGGUUUUUAUAGUGAAGAGAGGCAUUGAUAGAAGGUGACGUUUGAGCUGACGAAUUUCAAAGAUUCCUAAACCUUGUUGGACUUAUCUAGUGUUUUUUCAAUGCUUAGGUUGCAGCUUGAUGCAUGAUGCUGUUAGAGACAGUUUCAUACUACACGACUCUUGGGGGUUUGAAUUUAAUUCACGAAUUAUAAUUUAGGUUAAACUAAACCCCAACACUAAACUAGUCAGUUUAUAUUUGGUUAAACUACCUACCAAGUUAUCCAUCUAUGCCUAAACUUUCAAAAUGGUCAUUCAACUAAUUGGGUUUCAGUUUUUUAUCCAUUUCCCUUAAGCAUAGAUAAAUGCCUUACCUUUGCAUACUUGGUAGGGUUAAUUUUUAAAAAUUAUGACUAAAUUGAUACAAUAUGUAAAAUUUGAGGAAAAAAAUUGUUAUUAUCCUAAUAUUUAAACAGUCACUUCAACUUUCUAUCAAACACUUAAUGGAAAUGGACCAAAAAAAUAAAUCAGAAUAGUUAGGUGACCAUUUUGAAAGUUUUAAAAGUUGAGUGAUAAAAAAAAAAAACUUAAACAUGUUUAAUAGUAUUAAUGUGUCGAACAAUUAAAGUAUCCACUUGUCAUUGUUUUCUUGAAUAUUGUGUAUAUCAUAUAUAAUAAAGGAUUGUAUAACGCUAGCUGUCAUUUUACAUCAUACCUUUUCUUCUCCAAUAAGAGAAUGAUAAAUUAAAUUUUUUCUCUUAAAAAAAUUCAAAUUCAAAUAAAAAUGUAAUAUAAAAUCAUAAUUUCAUAUAAUCACAGUUUCAUACAAUAUUUUCUCUUAGAAUAUAUAUUUAUAAUGUAUAUAUAUAUUCCAUUUUUCAAUUGUUUCUAACUUUGUUCUUUUAGUUUGUCACAGACAAAAAUUUUGACUUCGAUAUUAUUAAUAAAAAAUUAUUAUUGUCCUUGUAGCGGAAGAAUGUGUGUGACAACGUGAUAAGUAUUUUUCCAAACAAAAUCCAAAAGGAUUUAGGGAUCUUCAAAUUCGUCAGCCCAAACGUCACCUUUUUUCAGUGCCUCUCAUCACUUAUAAAAACACUUUGAUUUCCUUUCUUAGUUACUCCAAAUCCGACGUUCGUAAAAAAAGACCAGGUGAACUACCUACGUGCCGCCGUCACCACCAUGUCACAGCCUCAUUUCCUCCUAGUGACCUUCCCUGCACAAGGCCACAUAAACCCAACCUUACAAUUUGCCAAGCAUCUUAUACGUAUUGGCGUACGUGUAACUUUCAUCACCUGCAUCUCCGCUCACCGCCGCAUGACCAAAGUCCCCACUGCUCAAGGCCUAACGUUUUUACCGUUUUCCGAUGGCUACGACGACGGUUUUCAACCCGGUGAUGACAUAGAACAUUACCUAUCUGAAUUGAGGCGACGAGGCAAAGAAGCCAUCUCCGAGUUCAUAACAAGCAGUGAAAACGAAGGCAAACCCGUCACUUGCAUUGUCUACACCCUGUUCAUCCAUUGGGCCUCGGAGGUGGCGCGUAAACAUCACAUCCCGACAGCUUUACUUUGGAUUCAACCCGCCACCGUUUUCGACAUCUAUUAUUUUUACUUCAACGGAUACGAAUCCACCAUUAAAGCUCCAGUUGAUGAAACAAACCCAAAGCGUUCAAUAAAAUUACCAGGUCUGCCGCUACUCGCCACCCGCGACCUUCCGUCGUUCGUCACCGCUUCAAACGUUUACCGUUGGGCACUGUCGUUGUUCAAAGAACAAAUGGAUGUCCUCGCUGAUGAAUCCCACCCCAAAAUCCUUGUUAACACAUUCGAUGCUUUGGAACACGAAGCAUUAAACGCCAUUGAAAAUUUCAACAUGGUAGGCAUCGGACCUUUAAUCCCAUCUUCUUUCUUGAACUCAAAUGACUCCUUGGAUAAUUCCUUGAGAACCGAUCUUUUUCAAUCCGAUUCAAAAGAUUACAUCCAAUGGUUAGACUCCAAACCAAAAUCGGCCGUCGUUUACGUUUCCUUCGGGAGCUAUGCUGUGUUAACGAAGCGACAAGUGGAGGAAAUCGCUCGAGCUUUAAUAUCCAGCCGGCGAC